Molecule: long non-coding RNA, 30884 nt
Filed under: Brassica napus (rape)
Lineage: Eukaryota; Viridiplantae; Streptophyta; Magnoliopsida; Brassicales; Brassicaceae
Description: long non-coding RNA (BNAP_LNC007322)
Source: RNAcentral
CCCCUAUGGUGAAUGGUUAAAUUCACCGCACUUUUUUCAUGACCAAUCAAAGUGUCAUCGAUAAAUAAUUAAAAAAGACAAUAAAAAUAAGAAAAUAUAAAUAACUGCAAAAAAAACAACACCGACAUUAAUUAACGCCGUCUGCAAAAUUCUAAAAACCUAAACUCUAAAAAAAUAAAUACUAAAUACAAAACACUAAACCAUAAACCCCAAUCUUAAAAUCUAAACCCUAAAUCCAAAUUCAAAACCCUAAAUCCUAAAAUCUAAACCCUAAAGUCUAAAACCAAAACCAUAAACCCUAAAUCCUAAAAUCUAAACCCUAAAUCCUAAAUCCUAAACUCUAAAUCCUAAACUUUAAACCCAAAAAUUCAAACCUUAAACCCUAAACUAUAAAUCCUAAACCCAGACCUCUAAACCGUAAACCCAACUGCUAGUUAAAAAGAUUGAGGUUUACGGUUUAAAGGUUUGGGUUUAGGGUUUAGGAUUUAGAGUUUAGAGUUUAAGAUUUAGAGUUUAGAGUUUAAGAUUCAGAGUUUAGGGUUAGAAUUUAGAGUUUAGGGUUCAAGAUUUAGGGUUUAAAUUUUAGGAUUUAGGGUUUAUAUUUAGAGUUUGGGUUUAGAGAUUAAGAUUUAUAUUUUAGGAUUGGGGUUUAUGGUUUAGUGUUUUAGAUUUAGGGUUUAUAGUUUUAGAGUUUAGGUUUUUAGAAUUUAGAAUUUCGCAGACGGCGUUAAUUAAUGUCGGUGUUAUUUUUUUCAACUAAAUUAAUUUUUUUUAUUUUUAUUGUUUUUUUUAAUCAUUCCUACAUGGCUCUUUCAUUAGUUAUGAAAAGUGUGAUGAAUUUAACGAUUCAGUAUAAGGGUGAACCUAAGUAUUGUUAAAAAAAAUCAUAUUAUGUUACAUAAAUAGUAUCAGAAAAACGAAUGAUAUCAAUUUGAGGCUAUUAAUAAAUGAUACAAAAAUCAUAUUAUAUUUUAACAUCAAUUGUAAUUGAUGUUGUUAUUAACUUACCUUUGUCUAUAUUAAUCUAUGUUAAGCAAGUGAAGAUCAAUUAAAAGAUAUGUGUGUAAAAAUAUGCAGUUUACUCUUAACCAAAAAUAAUUUUAUUUUUUCUAUUGUUUCUUUUGUUCUUAUUAGAAAUCAAAGGUUUGAUAAAUUAAUUAAAAACUUUUAUUAUUUCAUUAAUAUAAUUAUUUUUCAUUUUAGUGUUUGUUAUAUUUUAUUAUAAAAGGAAGUAAAAUAAAAAUAUUUGUCACUAUAGUUGAAAUUCAAUGCAAAUUAUGAAUUAUUUUUCAUUUUUAUGUAUUUGUUUUUGAAUGCGUUGGUAUUUUAUACAUUUUAAACCUAUUGAUUUUGAUAAUGUGAAAAUGAAUGAAAAUAUACAAUUAUAUAAUUAUAUAGAUUACAGCCUAGGACUGUUAUGGUCUAGGACUGGUCCACGCUAUGCGCAGAAUUUAAACAUUGUGGUAUUUCCUUUUGAACAGAAUUGUGAAAUCAUCUAAUCUAUUAAUUUAGGGUUCUAUUUUUUAUCUACCAUACAAAAGUCUAUGUUAGACCAUUCAUUUGAAAUUUAACUAAAUAUCCUAAAUUUACUCAUAUAUGAUAUUUUCCUAACAAAAAUAAUAUACAUCUAAACAAUAAGAUUUCUAAGACAAGACAAAUAUAUUUCCAUUAGAUAAUUAUUGUUUAUUAUUUAUCAUAUUUAAUCUAGACCAAAUUAUAUAUAUAUAUAUAUAUAUUUCAGUCAUUAAUUUUUAAAUUAAAUGGUAUAGCCCACUCUUUUUAAAUUGUCAUAUUAACUUUUCAUAUAAAACAAAAUAAAUUAUAUUUGAUUGGCUGUAACAUUUUAUGUUUGAUUUUUGUAGUAUAAAUAAAAACACCAAAUUGAAUUAUAAUAUAUUAAAUAAAAUAUUAUUUUAAAAUAUAAUAUUAAAUAAUUUAGUUUAUUUAGACACAAAAAUUUCGAGAAUAAAAAUUUCUAAACGAAUUUUUUUUAUAAAUUUCGUAUUAAUUCAUAUAAAACUAAUAUUUAAAAUUAAACUGUUAAUAUAAUGUUGCAUUCUAAAAUAAAUAAACAAAAAUACUACAUUAAUAUCUGAUUUGUACAAUUUCAUCAAAAAAAAAUUCAACAAAUAUGAAAAUUUCUAAAUAAUAUUAUAUACAUAAAAAUUGAUAUUGAAUAUAUAUCUUUAUACCUUAAUUUAUAUUUAAAAAUGUUAUUUUAAAAAUAAAAAUAUAUCCGCACGGAUGUGCGGGUUCAAAUCUAGUUGUUUGUUAUGAGAUUGUUUUUCCUAUUGAUCUUAUUAUUUUAUUUUAUGGGAUAUUACAAAUAAGUUGUGAAUUUCACAUUGUUAUAUAUUUGAGCUGGAACGUAUUUGGUGAAUGGGUUCAAUAAUAAAAGGAAAUCAGCUUGAUUGUGUACUAUAAUUUUGUAGGAAGAUACUAUAGACAACCUUGGUUGCCUUAUGGUUGAAGGACCAUGUAGGAUUCGUAUAAUCGUGUUGAAGAGAGUGUCAGCCGAACCAAGCACAACUUGUUCUCUGCUGCUUCUUCCCGGAGCCCUCCUCCUCCACCCUCUAGUUCAGUUACAUCAGUUACAUUUUAACUAACACCAGCAAAUUAGAAAAAAUGAUUUCCUUAAAUCGAGACAAAAUAUGAAUACUUUGUUUUUCAUUAGGAAAAUUACAAUACCUAUAAAACAUACAUAAAUGAUAUAAUAUACUUUUAUAUCAGCCUAAAAAAUUCUUAGAAUCGAGACAAAAAAAAUCUAAAAUAUAUUUUGUUUACACUUUGACAGAACACAACUUUCAAAAUAAUUAAGGGAGCUUCUUUCAUUUGAUGCAUGAUGAGUGAUACCUACGAAUAAGAAGGUUCAUCUCUCAGAUUCAUCAAAGCUAAGUCAAUCUCUUCUCUAGAUCAUCCACUUCAGUAAAUUCCAAGCUGCAAUAAUAUUUGAACACCGAAAAGAAUGAAUUAUCUAUUCCUGAUAAACGUAAUAGAUCAAAGUAAGUAAUUUGAACUGUCAUGUCUAUUUACAUACACUUGCCUCUUUUUAUUGACUGUAGUGGGAACGUCAUUUUUUUGUAGCCAUCCUGCGUUUUAGAGAUGAAGAUACAUACCUGUUGAGAAAGAAGCAGGUAAAGUUAGUUUUAAACCAUUUGUAAUAUUUUCUUGACAAAUUUUAACUUGACUACUUAAGAAAAGCCAACCUGUGAACUGUAAUCUCAUCGACCACCUAUAAGAACAGCAGAAUAUUGAGGAAUUAGUUAGAUUGAAGAAUUUAAAAAAACAAACGAAAGCUGUGUGUGACUGUAUCUUGUGACUGAAAUUUCAAUAAUUACCUGAUUAGCUAGAUCUGUAGUUUUUCCAACUUCUUCUUUAUCAAAUGUUUCAUCAAUUGCCUAUGACAUCAUCUCUAUCUAUAAACACACAACACACACGACAACCAAUCCUCUCAUGAUUUUAGAGUAUUAUGAAGUUAGGAAUGAGAGUACACAUUCUGUUUGCUGUCCAGCUGUGCAUAUAACUUUUGUUAAUCCUUGAUCACUUAGCAGUUUAGCUUGUUUUGUGGGUGACAUUAGAUGAAAAAAUGUGAAGACAGCGCAAGAUUGAUCAAAAAGAUGUUAAAGGACCAUCAAAGUAGUAAAUGAAGCAACAUGUGAUCAUUACCUUGUUCAUUGCAACUGUAGUUGUGCUUGUAAGGUUUAAGACUCCUCCUCCUCCUCCUCUGUUUCUUUUCAUCCCACUUUCAAGCUCUGUUACAGACGAUACAUCCUAAAAGCUAAAUUCUAUAACUUUAGUCACUUUUAUUAUCUAGGAAUCUCACAGGUUUGAUCCCUAACGAAAUCAGAGACUUGUUAGAUCUUUCCGGUGUUGGCAAAUCUUGUGGCUGAAUGUAUCCCUGAGACAAAUCUCUCCAGUAAAUGUCUGGAGUCAAUUGAAAACCUGAAACAUGUUCAGACAAUAGCUAAUCGGGCCUGAUUUCUAAAGCUGGUUUGUUUUCCAGGUGGAUUCAUGGGCAAACGUAUUUGCAGUUCCCUGUAGAAAAGCUAUAGCCAAUUACGACAUUCUAUAAAUGAGAAAUCAGUUUAUCAUGAAGAUCCAUAAUUCAAAGAAAUCAAGCUUUUACCUUUUGGAUUGUGUUUUUUUUUUCAUCAUCUCUGGGAGGGUCUUCUAUGUGGAUUAGAAUUGAGAAAUCUUUUGUGUAUGGCGAUAAUCUUUAAGUGAAGUUGUUCUAUACAGAGAAGAGAUAAUCUCAAAUAGAGAUAAGAAGAAGUAAUUUUGCUUGUUCUGGGGGAAGAAUUAAGGUUAUUGUUAAUGACGAUGAAUCAAUAAAUUCCAUAACGUUUCAGAGGAGAAUAAUUUUAGACGAAGCGACACGAAUAAAGUUCAACCCAGGGAUUUCUCAAGACGAUUCGUCUCACACAACCUUUCAGAAACUCUAUUGAAGCUUGACCUAAUCUGAACUCGAAGAAAACGAAGAACCUUAGAAUUCAAGGGUCGCUAUAUUCUUGAAGAAGCCAAAGGUAAUAAUCGGUAAACUUUGUCUGCAGAAUCUUUCGGGAAGCAUGGGGCAUUCAACCAAAUGAAUUGGAAUUAUUGAAUAUUUUGGUUUGGUAAAAAUUAGACCCAAAUGGAUUACUAAUUUCAUUGGAUGACAUGGCAACUUCAUUGGAUGAGAAUAUUUUGGCUGAGGUGGAUAGUUUCAAAAGCCUUGAAUUUAGUCCCUUUUAUAUAGUAGGAUUGUAUUUUUCGCCGACUUAUGGUUCCAGAAAAAUGUGUUUCUUUCCGGCAUAUAUAAAAAAAUUUAUGUUUUCAAUAUAAUCCAACAUAUGAUAAAAAGAUUAAUAUAUUGAAAUUACAUUUCUAAUAUUUUAGCGCGAAGUAUUUAAUUUAGAAGGAAAUAUAGUUUUUGAUAUAGAACUUUUUUUAAUGACCAAUCCUCUCAUGAUUUUAGAGUAUUAUGAAGUUAGGAAUGAGAGUACACAUUCUGUUUGCUGUCCAGCUGUGCAUAUAACUUUUGUUAAUCCUUGAUCACUUAGCAGUUUAGCUUGUUUUGUGGGUGACAUUAGAUGAAAAAAUGUGAAGACAGCGCAAGAUUGAUCAAAAAGAUGUUAAAGGACCAUCAAAGUAGUAAAUGAAGCAACAUGUGAUCAUUACCUUGUUCAUUGCAACUGUAGUUGUGCUUGUAAGGUUUAAGACUCCUCCUCCUCCUCCUCUGUUUCUUUUCAUCCCACUUUCAAGCUCUGUUACAGACGAUACAUCCUAAAAGCUAAAUUCUAUAACUUUAGUCACUUUUAUUAUCUAGGAAUCUCACAGGUUUGAUCCCUAACGAAAUCAGAGACUUGUUAGAUCUUUCCGGUGUUGGCAAAUCUUGUGGCUGAAUGUAUCCCUGAGACAAAUCUCUCCAGUAAAUGUCUGGAGUCAAUUGAAAACCUGAAACAUGUUCAGACAAUAGCUAAUCGGGCCUGAUUUCUAAAGCUGGUUUGUUUUCCAGGUGGAUUCAUGGGCAAACGUAUUUGCAGUUCCCUGUAGAAAAGCUAUAGCCAAUUACGACAUUCUAUAAAUGAGAAAUCAGUUUAUCAUGAAGAUCCAUAAUUCAAAGAAAUCAAGCUUUUACCUUUUGGAUUGUGUUUUUUUUUUCAUCAUCUCUGGGAGGGUCUUCUAUGUGGAUUAGAAUUGAGAAAUCUUUUGUGUAUGGCGAUAAUCUUUAAGUGAAGUUGUUCUAUACAGAGAAGAGAUAAUCUCAAAUAGAGAUAAGAAGAAGUAAUUUUGCUUGUUCUGGGGGAAGAAUUAAGGUUAUUGUUAAUGACGAUGAAUCAAUAAAUUCCAUAACGUUUCAGAGGAGAAUAAUUUUAGACGAAGCGACACGAAUAAAGUUCAACCCAGGGAUUUCUCAAGACGAUUCGUCUCACACAACCUUUCAGAAACUCUAUUGAAGCUUGACCUAAUCUGAACUCGAAGAAAACGAAGAACCUUAGAAUUCAAGGGUCGCUAUAUUCUUGAAGAAGCCAAAGGUAAUAAUCGGUAAACUUUGUCUGCAGAAUCUUUCGGGAAGCAUGGGGCAUUCAACCAAAUGAAUUGGAAUUAUUGAAUAUUUUGGUUUGGUAAAAAUUAGACCCAAAUGGAUUACUAAUUUCAUUGGAUGACAUGGCAACUUCAUUGGAUGAGAAUAUUUUGGCUGAGGUGGAUAGUUUCAAAAGCCUUGAAUUUAGUCCCUUUUAUAUAGUAGGAUUGUAUUUUUCGCCGACUUAUGGUUCCAGAAAAAUGUGUUUCUUUCCGGCAUAUAUAAAAAAAUUUAUGUUUUCAAUAUAAUCCAACAUAUGAUAAAAAGAUUAAUAUAUUGAAAUUACAUUUCUAAUAUUUUAGCGCGAAGUAUUUAAUUUAGAAGGAAAUAUAGUUUUUGAUAUAGAACUUUUUUUAAUGUGAUAUUGCACAAGAAGAAAUAGGAAAAAGGAAAGUUUGUUUGUUUCUCUACCUGAUACAAUUAUAAUUUUUGAAAUUUACAAUUGACAUAAAGAAAAGGUGCUAUCCAAAGUGUUUUAACAUUAAACUAAGAUUUGCAUGAUGAGAUGUACAUCUUGUAACCAGCAUAAAAGAGUGCAUAUAUUUUUUUUUGUCAGCAAUAUAAAAAUAAUCACAUAGAUUCUGUAAAUCACAAUGGGCAAUUCUGUAAUCAUAUGGAUAACAAAUGAUGAUUGCUUCCUUGCAAUGCGUGCAAGAAUGUCGCUGUUGAAUUCUGCGUACGUAGUAUACGAAUGAGCUCUGAGUUGUUGAAACUUAUCUUCAAGACUUUUAUGUCUUUUAAAUAGCUUGCAAAGACUGACCAUUAUUCUAGUUUCAAAAAACUAUUUUUACCAACUGAGAAAAAUCUUUUGCAAAGUAACAGUAAAUUGUUUUAGAUUCCUCGUACAAAAAAGAGUGCAUAUACAUAUAUACAUUUAAUUAAUUUAAAUAUUUUUUACAGAAUAUUCAAUGUUUUCCAUUUUUUAGCAACUUACACCACGCAGCCCUAAUUAAAUGUCACCUCCUUUUAUGAAUAGAUCCAUUGAAUUGUCGACGCCUCUAAAGUCCAUAACUUAGAGCAUCUCCAAAAGACACUAUAUAACUUCAAAUAUGAAAUUUUUUGCUCUCCAAAAGGAAACUUCAAAACUUCAAAUUUGAAUUUUUGAGGAGUGAAACUCUAUAUUUAAAGUUUCACUAUUCAAAACUUCAAAUUUGAAGUUUCAUAUUUUUAUUUGCAUUUUGGUCCCUAUAAUCACACAUCACAUUUAUGAUUCACAUAUAUUUUUCUCGUUUAUUGUUUUAAUCUUUAAAAAAAUUAUAUCUCAUAAAUAUUUUAAAUUUUGUUUACAGGUUUUAAAUUUUACACAUAAAAUUAAAUUAAACUUUAAAAUAAGAUUUAAAAUAUUUUAAGUUAGAUUUAGACAACAAUAAUGUACAAAAAAACUUAACAAAAAGAUUUUAAAAAAUUACAUGAAGACAUAAAUAUUACACAAAUUUAAAUAUUACAACAACACUAAUAGUCAGGUAAGUUUGAUCCGGAACCUUCAAAUUUUCAAAUCUUGUCCAUUUUUUUUUUGUGUAACUGAAGAUGGUUGUUGUUGUUGUUUUUGAUGUCUUUUUCGUUCAAUUCUUUCUUGUUCUUAUCGAUUAUAUUCACGAGUAUUAAUAUCAUCGAAAAUAAAUUAAUUUUUUAGCAAUAUUUUAUGCUUCUCUUUUACUUUCUUGUUCCGAUCUAAUGUAUUUACUUUUUUUUUUUGAAAGAAUUUUAAAUUUAUUCAAAAAAAACCUUGGUACAGAGUUUCACUGCUACUUUCUUUACAAACUCAUCACAUAACUCAAACUACAAAAUUCUCAACUAAAGACAAGCUGCCUCAUUUAAAUCCUUGCAAACCAUAGCUCCAUGGUCUUCUCAUGCUUCCCACCUACAGUCUUUCGAAGUGAAGUAACUCUAUUUCUCACAAUUUUGUCCAAUCGGUUAAUCAGACAAGCUGCUGGUUGAGGACGUUCUCCUACUCUCCUGAUAUUCCUCUCAUGCCAGAUAGCAUAAAUCACCACUUGAAAGCAGUAUCUCAUCAAAAAAUUAAUGCUUCUCCCUUGAUUCCCAUUUGAAAUAAACCGGAUUACACUGCCCCAUUGAUGGAUCCUUCCCAUGCCUGCCAGACUCCUCACCGUACCAUUCCAAACUUCUUUAGAAUAGGGACAUUCAAAAAAGAGAUGAUCCCUUGUUUCAAUAUCCGUAUUACACAGCCAACAGGUGGAGAUAGCUUGCGGGUUCCAACGAAGCAUUCUAUCACCCAUUGCUAGUCUGUUAUGAGCAGCUAGCCAAGCUAUAAAAGAGAAUUUUGGUGUAGCCUCAGUAAACCAAAUUCCUUUAGACCAAAAGAGUGUUGGAGACUUACAUCUAAUCAGGUUCCAAGUUUGGGAUGUAACAAACCCUUCUUUGAACUCCCCAUUUUCCCUCUUCCAUAGACAAACAUCCUCCAACUGAUUAAGCCCCCGACUCUUCAGUCUAGUAAUCGAUCUAAUGUAUUUACAAGUAUCAAUAUUACCCGAUUUUAACAACUUUUAGCUCGUAAUCUACAAAAUAAAAAAAUAGGAGAGUCAUUUUUACUUUAAAAUGCACUAAUAUAUCAUAUAUGCAUUACAAAAAUCAUUUUAUGAAAUAAUAUGGUAUUUUGUUUGAAGUUUAAUAUUAAUUAAGUUAUUUUUAUUUAAAUUUUAAUAUUUAAUAUAAUAUAAUAUUUAAUAUAAUAUAAUAUUGUUGUAAUAUGUUUAUAUAUGUGCUCGUUAUUUACAAAAGUUUUAUGAAUUCAAAUUAGUUGUGAAAAAUAAAACGACCAUAUUAUAAAAUAUAAAUAGUUUUGAAGUUGAGUUUAAAGUUUUGCUUUUCUCCAAAAGCAUAUUUAAACUUCAAAUAUAGAGUUUGGAAACUUCAAGAUAGAGUUUUUUUUUGGAGAUGCUCUAUGGGGGUAAUAUAUAUAUAUGAUUUUUUUUGUUAGUAUAAGAUGUGUGUAAAUUCUCAUUAAAAAGAUAUUGGAAAUUCUCGCUAGGAAAUAUAUUGGCUAAUUCAUUAGAAAAUAAAUUACUGAGCAAAGGCAAAACUAAGAAAAAAUAUUUUGUUGAAUCCAAAUAUCUACAAGAAACAAGGGGAAUGUUGGAGCACGUCGCUUUCGAAGUGAAGUAACUCUAUUUCUCACAAUUUUGUCCAAUCGGUUAAUCAGACAAGCUGCCGUGGCUGCGUGCAUUGAGCUUCUAAAAUUAUUAUUUCUUCCGACGUGCAUUGAGCUUCUAAAAUGAAUAGAAAACUAUAUUCACAUAUAUAUGAUAUGUAUGCACUUUAGUACUAAGCUAUGAAGUUAUGAUUCCACAAAAAUAAAGAAAAGCAAUUUGGUUGAAAAAUUCCAUAAAUACCACGUUCUUUGGGAUGCAACGCCCAUACCUUUUAAUUUACUCAUCUUCGGGGUUCACAUAUUAAGUUUACUUUGACUAUAUGCCACAUAGAUGCCUACUUAUAUACUACUUUAUUCAUCAAUAUUAAUUAUUUGUAGAGCUGUAUUAACUAUAGAGGCAUAUGUUAUCGAAUAUCUUUUACAUGUAGUAAUUAAUAAACUAGUGGAAAUUUUAAGAGUUUUUUUUUGUAUUGCUAACUGAAAUUAUUAGAAUUCCCGUUAAAAUAAACAAUUUUCUAAGUUACGACCACAUAAUAAUUACACACGAUCAAGGACAUAACAUUACGUUUUCGUUGUAAAUAAAAUUAAAGUUAAGUAAAAAGAUAAUUUAUUACCGAUGAAAAGGUGCAUUAUGAACUUUUGAGACUAUUAAUAUAAGGAAAAACAGUACUGACUUAACUAUGUAUAGUAUAACGGAUACAAAGGAAUAAAUUAAUUUCAGAAUACAACUAAUGCAAGUAUGAGCACAUAUAGUGCAAUCACAUUGCAGAAAAAAAGACACCGUGAUAAAAGUCUGAAUAUGACUGAAGAAAAAUAGAUGAGUCUACAUACAAUAUGUGAAGGAGAUAUGCAACCAUCGUAUCUCAACCCAGUCCAUGGAAGCUUAAUUACAAAGAGGUUCUGAGUCUUUGGUGUACAACUUAAACUACAUAGCGCUAAGAACAUAUAUUUUCUACUUGAAGUCAAUUUUUUGUUCGUUUUUUUUUUCUGUAAAUUGAUGCAGUUAUUAUAAAAUACUUUUUUGGUUUGAAUUUAAUUUAAAAUUCAUCUAAAACAGUAUCAAAAAAAUGAGAAAGCUAUAUUUGCAGUAAUAUUAUUAUAUAUAUCAGCCCAUAACUUUUUUUUUAAUCAGCCCAUAACUUAAUUUAUAAUAAACUAGUCGACCAACGGUAAUACGUUAGUCACUUCAUCUUCGAGCAUGGAAACUUUUUUUUUCGAGCUUGAAAUUUGUGUUGAUAUUUGUUUGUUUUUUCUACAAUCAGUUUGCUUGAAAUCCUGCGAUGUUUCCUAUAGUUUCCAGAAGAUUAAUAUGGGUAAACAAGUCAACGACUAGGGUCGUCUUUUGGAUGCAGACAAACUUUGGAUCGUAUCUCAUUUAAUACGCUGUUCUAGCUAAAUAAUUGGUAGGUUACCUUAGGGUUUAAAAUAUAACUUAGGGUUUUAAAUUAGCCCAAAAUUUAAGGGUUGAAUGUGACUGUAACUACACGUGCCAGCAUCCAAAGAGAAAUAUCAGGAAAGUUUCAUUUAAAAGUGAACAAUAACAUAAAGUAUUGGACCCAUAUCGUAUAAUUAACGGUGAUUGAUAAUUUGAUUUAGUAAAAAUCAUAGGUCUUCAAGAGUAUAUAUAUCCGAGGCAUUAAUUUUUAAAAAUAGUAAGUAUAAAGGAUUGAGAAAUAUGUUAUGUUUAUAUAAUAAGUUAACUAGUUGAUGUCCCGCACCUUGUGCGGAUUAAUAUAUCUGUACAUCUAACAAUUUUUAAUUCUAUUUUUUAUAAGAUAAUAAGAAUUGAAUUAGAUAGAAAUUUUAAAUUUUAAUUCAGAUAUAUUAAUAUAUUUAUAUAUAAAUUUUAUAAUAAUAUGUAUUUGAUCAAUAUUUUCAGUAAAAAAUCAGAGAAAUUGGCUAUAAUAUUAGUCAUUAAAAUUAUAAAUAAGAGAAAAGUAAUGAUGAUAUUAUCGGUAUAUAUUAUUAAUAUCUUUUAAUUAAUUAAAUGUCGUAAAUAUCAUGUUUAUUAUAUAUUAAAAUAUAUUUUAGAAAAUAUUAGUAUAUAUAUCGGUAAAAUAGGUUCAUGUUUAUCAUGAUUUUAAAUAUCAUGAUAAAUAUAUAGAUAUCAAAAUAUUAAAAAAUUAAUAAUAAUAUUAAUUAAACUAAUGAUUUAUCUUAAAAUCAUGGAAAAUAUGACAAAUAAGCAAAUUAACUAAAAUUAUGGAGAAUGUGAUAAAUAAGCCAAAUCAAUUCAUAAAUAAUAGAAUAGAUAGACAACUAAUUAGAAUGUCACAAGGAUAUUUUUACUUUAGCAAAAAUAAUGCUUCUACAUACCACCGCCUAUUUUGAGAGCUAGAGAACUUUUUCUAGUCGUCAUUAAUUACACAACCAUAAUUAUUUUUGACCGGUUCAAAGUGUAAGACAUACACAAAUCUAAGAAAGUAUUAAACUUUCAAUCCAACUUGUAUCCUCUGAUUUUUAAACGGCAUCGAUAUCCUGUUUUAAGAUUGCAUAAGUCAAAAUCAUUAAUAGCUUCGUAUUUUUGGCAAUUUUGAAAUGCAAAUAGAAUGUUUUCAUGAAUAUAAAUAAAUAAUAUAUUUACUUAAUUUAUGUUACGUAAAAUUUUAUGUUACAUUAAAUUGUAUGUUACAUAGCUUACGAUACCUCACUGAAUAAUUAUUAGUAAGACUUUUUGUAGAACUUUUAGUAAAAAGAUUGUUGUGCAUGUUUGAUAACAAAAAAUUAUUGUGCGUGUAUGACUAGAAUCUCAAUACACAUGGGUUUCUAACUAUUGGGUUUAGCUAUGACACUAAGCCUCUGCCAACAUAAACUUAUUUAAUUUUAAGAACAAACUCAACGAAUCGUAUAUAAUCUGAUCUACUAAAUCUUUUAAUCAACCCAAACAUUUUGACUUAACAUGUCUGGACUGUCUUCUAAAGUAUAUGUUGUCCGUUUCCUUAGGGUAUUAGAAACCAUCAUUUUCAGAGUUUCGAUGUCGGCUUGUGAAGAUCGACCACGUAAGUCGUCAAUUGCAUGUUGUCCAUUUAUAUAUUUUUAAACAAAAUCAUAAUAUUAUAGGUAUGAACGAACUGUAAGGAAGAAUCUAUGCAAUGAUCCAGACUAGUUAGGAUAGAUUUUGAAUUAGUUUUCAAAUAUAUGGAUACGGUAAAGUAUUAAUAACCCAUCUAUUCUCUAUAAGAAACUAGAAAUUAACUCAUAGGUGAGAAUUUUAUAGUUUUCUGGGUACUUAAUUAAAACUAGAUUUUGAUCCGCGUUUAGAAAGCGCGGGUUUGUUUUUAUUUGUUUUCAAAAUUAAAUAAUUUUUUAAUAUGAAUUUCUAUAUAAAAUCGUGUAAAAUUCUAAACACAUUUAUGUGGAAUCGUGAACCGAACCAUAUCAAACUGAAACACACACAAAACCCAAAAUGAAAUGAAUUUUAUAAAUAACCGUAUUGAUUAUAUAUCUGGGGAGCCAAAUAACUGAAACCGAAUAGAAAAUCAAAUGGAUGCCUGAAUUUUAAAGUACAAAUUAUAUACCUACAAAUAAUAAAUUAUAUUUAAUUUCUAAAUAACCAAAUAUCCUAAAAUUACAAUUUAUAAACCAAAUUACCUGUAAAGCUUAAUAACCCAAAAUUUUAUUCAUAAUAUUUCAAAAUUAUCCAGAUUAUCUGAUAUUUUUAUUCGAACAAACCGAAUUACCCGAUAUUUAAACUGAAAACUCUAAAUUAUCUAGCAAUUUUUAUCUACAAACCUGAAAUUACUUGAAAAACAAAAUUAAGCGGGAACAGAAUUGGGCCCAUUUUUGAGAUAUUAGCCGGAUUCAAACUAUGUUACCGAACCAAAGCAAAACCUUAAUAACCCAACUAAAACCAAACUGAACUUUGUAAAUACAUGAACAGUUCCAAAAUUUCUAAAACCAAACAUUAAAAACCAACUGAUAUGUUUCCACCAAAUUUAGAUUUAAUGAAAACCUAUAAAUUAAAAAUCAGAUAAAAUUCAAAAACUCCCAUCAACAUAUGAACCGACACAUGUUGUCCAGAUUAAAGCCCAUAAAAACAUUAAAACACUUUUUAAAUGGACUAAACUUCUCAUGUAUUUUAUAAUAAUACAUAAAACUAAAUAAAAUAUUCGAUUUGUUCAGGUAAAAACUCAGAAAAAUCUGAUAACACCUUUUAAAAAAAUUAUUAAACUUUUUAUAUAUUUUAUAAUAAUACAUAAAACUAAAUAAACUAUUUGAUUUGUCUUAUGAAGUACAUGUAUAUGAAAUCAGAUUAUAGUUUAGAAAUAUAUGAAAUAGGGUUUAGGAUAUAUAGCUUAAAAGUUUAUGGAAAUUUGGUUUAGGGUAUAGGGUUUGAUUUAUACAGAAAAUAUGAUAAAAAAUCUCUAGAAAAUAUGUAUUUGAACAAAUAAAUAGAUUCAAGAAAAUACAUGAAAAUGGUAAGAGUCAAACGAGUAAAUAAUAUAUGGUUUAUGGUAUAAGGAUUUGGUUUGUAUUUGGUAAUAUGCAUACUACCAUUGAACAUAUUCUGUAAGUUCAUACGCACAUUUUUUUUUAAAAUAGCCUACCAACUAAUUUCAUCACGACGGGUAGUAUUUUGAUUUUAUAUAUGUUUGGUUAUAUAAGGUCGAAAAUAUGUAUAUUCCAUAUUAUUCAUUUGUUUUAACUUUUUCCUCACGUAAUGAAGCGAAUAUUAAUGCACUUAAAAUAUUACGAUGUGUAAAAGGAUAUGUUAGAUGCAAAAAUAUCGGAUGAUGGCAGUUGGAGUUUCCAUUUUAACAAUAUUGAUAAUUUUGAUUAACUAAGGUAAAUAUAAAAUAAGACAUAUUAAGAUCCUAUUGAAUAGGUCCAACAACUUUGUUUAAGUAGAUUUUUUCAGAAUGUUUCUUUUUUAAUAGUAUAGACGAGAGAAUUGUCUAGUUUUUUUUGUUUUUUUUUCUUAAUUUCUAAUUAGGUCUCUGCCACAUGUCGAUGGUAGAACGAAUAUCACAACAAUGAUUUCAAAGGUAAGAAAUCUGCCAAUUCGAAUUCGCUCAAUACUAUAAUGGGCGGUGUAUUAUUUAAUUGUAUUUUAACAUUUAGUUACUAAGUGUACUUUUUAUGUGAAUUACAAAUUAUUGUCGAUUGAGUCAUUUUAUAAUUAUUAUGAAGAGGCAUUUUGUACGGGACCAUACGCUCUUGAUAUGUAUCAUACGUGAUAGAAUUUUGAACGUGGCAUGAUAUUAGAGGGGGUUCAUAGUUGGCUAUAUAUAUUUGCAGUUACGAGCUUGAUGAUUGUAAGUCAACUAUCAUUUGAAUUUGUUCACAUUAUGGAGAUAGUAAAAAUUCAUAUUUAUAUUAUACACGUAAAAACUCGUUAGGGUUUGACUACUUAUUAAGUGAGUUGACGUACUUUGAGUAGCCUAUGGUUUGUAUAGCAAAUAUGUUUCGAGGUAGACUGCUUAUAUACCCCCUUUACACAUAUGAUGAUAAUUUUGGCUCAAUAAUAAUAGAUCAAGUCUAUCUCUUUUAUACUUUCUAGAAAAAGAAAAGUGGAUAUAUGUUUUGGUUGUGGUUGGGCUCUGCUACUAGUACUACUACUCUAUAUUCAAAACGUUUAUACAUUUCUAUUUAGUAAUUACGAGUUAUAUAAUCAUUAAAUAUUAUUUACAGUGACUAAUCUUACUGUAUAUAUACAUAUAUUUAUUCUCAUUUCAUAAAAUAUUAACACAUACUAAAAAUGAUCAAAGUAUAUACACAUGCAUUAGUAAACACCAUGUAUAGUAUUAAUCUAACACAUCUCCGUUCAUAAAGUAUGAUUUUAAUUUUUUUUAACACAUAUUAUAAAAAAACAUCAAACAUAUCCUUUUAAUUCAUAUAUCAUUUUAAGAGCUGCACCAUUAAAACUAAAAUUAUUAUUAUAUUAUAUAUCUUUCGAAAUAUUAAAAUAAUUUUUCAGGUAAAUAUAUCAUCGAAUUCAUAUCUUACAAUGUAAGAUCAAAUUAUCAAAAGUAGUUUAAAGUUGGGAGAAUUCUAAUUUUACCACAAACUUAAUAUCAUUUUUUAAAUUUAUUUCUAAAAAUGACUAUUUAUAAAUAUCCUAAAUUUGUGAUUAAAAAUAUUAAACUAACACUCCUAAAUCAUUUAUAAAUGUUUAAGAAUUAUUUAUAGAAGUUUAUAAACUCAAUCUCACCUCAUAAAUACUAAACUCUAAACAAUAAUCACUAAACUAUAAACCCAAAUGCUAUGAUAUUUUUGAAAAUUGGUAUCCAGUUAAUGGCCUUUAAAGUAAUUUCUCUUUAGAGUUGAAUAAUAUCUAUUAAUAAAUACUAGGUAAUAACCCGCGCCUUGCGCAGGAUGUGAUUAUUAGUUUCGUUAUUUUUAAUAGAAAAACAUUAAAUUUGUUUAAUCUGGAUAUUGGUUAGGUUUUACCUUUUUUUUGUUUUUAAUCUUCUAAAAUAUAACUAUGAUUUUAAAUUAAUAUUCAUUUUAGUUUAUUCGAUUAAAUGUUAUUAUUUGUUUAUUUUCAUAUUAUGAAUUUUAGAUAGUCGUUAUGUCGAACUAAUAGUUUCAUAUUAGAGUUUUUAAACAGAUAAUAGUUUAAGAAAUAGAAAAGAAUAUUAUUAAGAUAAAUCAAUUCACUACAAUUUGGUCGGUAGUGAAAGAAACAUUAAGAAAAAAUAUUUCAACUUUCAAAAAAAUUAGAUAUUUCAGCUGUGGUUAAUAAAAAUAUGUAUUUGAACAAAUAAAUAGAUUCAAGAAAAUACAUGAAAAUGGUAAGAGUCAAACGAGUAAAUAAUAUAUGGUUUAUGGUAUAAGGAUUUGGUUUGUAUUUGGUAAUAUGCAUACUACCAUUGAACAUAUUCUGUAAGUUCAUACGCACAUUUUUUUUUAAAAUAGCCUACCAACUAAUUUCAUCACGACGGGUAGUAUUUUGAUUUUAUAUAUGUUUGGUUAUAUAAGGUCGAAAAUAUGUAUAUUCCAUAUUAUUCAUUUGUUUUAACUUUUUCCUCACGUAAUGAAGCGAAUAUUAAUGCACUUAAAAUAUUACGAUGUGUAAAAGGAUAUGUUAGAUGCAAAAAUAUCGGAUGAUGGCAGUUGGAGUUUCCAUUUUAACAAUAUUGAUAAUUUUGAUUAACUAAGGUAAAUAUAAAAUAAGACAUAUUAAGAUCCUAUUGAAUAGGUCCAACAACUUUGUUUAAGUAGAUUUUUUCAGAAUGUUUCUUUUUUAAUAGUAUAGACGAGAGAAUUGUCUAGUUUUUUUUGUUUUUUUUUCUUAUGGGAAAAGACUGUUGCUUAAUAUAUAUCCUUUGAAUAUAUUUCGGGUAAAACUGGUUAAUCUAUUUCGGGUAAAAUUGGUUAAUCUAUUUGACGGGGAUUGCAAGGGCUAUAAGAAGUGCAAAUAUUAACUGGUGUGUCAUUUCAGAAGGCUAUGAAUCAAUGUAUGAAUGUGAGGUGGCUUGGCUUUUUUCAUCGCUAAAUUGGACUAGACAAUUCUUUAUGUAUUAUCAGAAAUUACCUCGAAAUAUGAACUUCUCUCUUUUUGGAUGACUAGAAAUUAAAUUCGGAAUCCAAAAGCUUGUACAUCUUCUAAUGGCGAAAUUCAGAUCAUGUUAAACUAUAACUAUAUUCAGAAGAACAGACAUUUUCUAGCAAAAUUGAAUUCAUAACCUUUUAAUUUUUUACUAAGUGAUCUAAAAAUGUUAUCCACUAUAUCAACUCUUUAUUGUAUGUAAUGCCCUUUCCGAAAGAAAAAAAAAACUCGGUUGCCGAAUAAGAGAUUUUGUCACUAAAAGCAUUUCUAAUGGAGAUUUUUAAUUUAGGAGUUCUAAAAAUACAUAUAUGUGUAUAUAUAUAUAUAUUGUUAUGUGUAUAAUUGCGAGGUUCUAAACUUUACGGAAAACUCAAUCUAAAAUAUUUUUGUGGAGUAUUUUGGGUUAUGUUUUUCGUAAAGUUUAAAACUCUGCAAUUAUGUACAUAUAUAUGUUUUUAGUACUCUUAAGCUAAAACUUCGAUGCUCUAGAGCUUUUCCAACGUUCGUAUUCGAACACCUAAACAUUCUUAAAACUUCGAAACCAUUCCAUCACUCAUUGCACACCGAGCGAUUGACAUUUUACAAUCCUCUUUGAUUGCACUACCCACUAAUCUAUUGACGUGGAAGCAUGCACACAUGUACGGUAGAGAUCAGAACACCUUGCCUUCUCCAGAUAUGGAAAGCGACGAUCUUGGACAGGACAUGCUUCGCACAUUACGACAGAACAAAUUACUCAAAAGGUGUUAGGUAUGUUAUGGGCCCACCUUAAAAGCAAUAUUUUAUCGUAUUGCUACUCUGUGGUCCCAAUUUCUAAUUAGGUCUCUGCCACAUGUCGAUGGUAGAACGAAUAUCACAACAAUGAUUUCAAAGGUAAGAAAUCUGCCAAUUCGAAUUCGCUCAAUACUAUAAUGGGCGGUGUAUUAUUUAAUUGUAUUUUAACAUUUAGUUACUAAGUGUACUUUUUAUGUGAAUUACAAAUUAUUGUCGAUUGAGUCAUUUUAUAAUUAUUAUGAAGAGGCAUUUUGUACGGGACCAUACGCUCUUGAUAUGUAUCAUACGUGAUAGAAUUUUGAACGUGGCAUGAUAUUAGAGGGGGUUCAUAGUUGGCUAUAUAUAUUUGCAGUUACGAGCUUGAUGAUUGUAAGUCAACUAUCAUUUGAAUUUGUUCACAUUAUGGAGAUAGUAAAAAUUCAUAUUUAUAUUAUACACGUAAAAACUCGUUAGGGUUUGACUACUUAUUAAGUGAGUUGACGUACUUUGAGUAGCCUAUGGUUUGUAUAGCAAAUAUGUUUCGAGGUAGACUGCUUAUAUACCCCCUUUACACAUAUGAUGAUAAUUUUGGCUCAAUAAUAAUAGAUCAAGUCUAUCUCUUUUAUACUUUCUAGAAAAAGAAAAGUGGAUAUAUGUUUUGGUUGUGGUUGGGCUCUGCUACUAGUACUACUACUCUAUAUUCAAAACGUUUAUACAUUUCUAUUUAGUAAUUACGAGUUAUAUAAUCAUUAAAUAUUAUUUACAGUGACUAAUCUUACUGUAUAUAUACAUAUAUUUAUUCUCAUUUCAUAAAAUAUUAACACAUACUAAAAAUGAUCAAAGUAUAUACACAUGCAUUAGUAAACACCAUGUAUAGUAUUAAUCUAACACAUCUCCGUUCAUAAAGUAUGAUUUUAAUUUUUUUUAACACAUAUUAUAAAAAAACAUCAAACAUAUCCUUUUAAUUCAUAUAUCAUUUUAAGAGCUGCACCAUUAAAACUAAAAUUAUUAUUAUAUUAUAUAUCUUUCGAAAUAUUAAAAUAAUUUUUCAGGUAAAUAUAUCAUCGAAUUCAUAUCUUACAAUGUAAGAUCAAAUUAUCAAAAGUAGUUUAAAGUUGGGAGAAUUCUAAUUUUACCACAAACUUAAUAUCAUUUUUUAAAUUUAUUUCUAAAAAUGACUAUUUAUAAAUAUCCUAAAUUUGUGAUUAAAAAUAUUAAACUAACACUCCUAAAUCAUUUAUAAAUGUUUAAGAAUUAUUUAUAGAAGUUUAUAAACUCAAUCUCACCUCAUAAAUACUAAACUCUAAACAAUAAUCACUAAACUAUAAACCCAAAUGCUAUGAUAUUUUUGAAAAUUGGUAUCCAGUUAAUGGCCUUUAAAGUAAUUUCUCUUUAGAGUUGAAUAAUAUCUAUUAAUAAAUACUAGGUAAUAACCCGCGCCUUGCGCAGGAUGUGAUUAUUAGUUUCGUUAUUUUUAAUAGAAAAACAUUAAAUUUGUUUAAUCUGGAUAUUGGUUAGGUUUUACCUUUUUUUUGUUUUUAAUCUUCUAAAAUAUAACUAUGAUUUUAAAUUAAUAUUCAUUUUAGUUUAUUCGAUUAAAUGUUAUUAUUUGUUUAUUUUCAUAUUAUGAAUUUUAGAUAGUCGUUAUGUCGAACUAAUAGUUUCAUAUUAGAGUUUUUAAACAGAUAAUAGUUUAAGAAAUAGAAAAGAAUAUUAUUAAGAUAAAUCAAUUCACUACAAUUUGGUCGGUAGUGAAAGAAACAUUAAGAAAAAAUAUUUCAACUUUCAAAAAAAUUAGAUAUUUCAGCUGUGGUUAAUAACUUAAUACUUAGUUAGAAGGUGCUCACAUCAAGGUGCACAUGUAUGUUUAUGUAAAAAGUAUAUAAAAAUAGUUGAAAAAUAUAUAAAGAUAUUGUUACUUAAUAUUAAAUGACAUUUUUGUUCAAAAUAAUAUAUGAAAGAUAAAAUUAAAAUUAAUUUAAAAUAAAAAAGAUCUUGACAUUAGUCAUUUUUCAUAUAAAGAAAAUAAAAAUAUAUUCGUAAAUAGGGAUGGGCACAUAUCAAAUAUCUGGGUAUUUGAAAGCAUUAUUGUCGAUUCGAUAUUUAACCACCUAGAUAUUUGGUGACUCGGAUAUCCGAAAUAUUUUAAAAUUUUAAAGAAUAUCUGAUUUGAUUCGUAAAUAAAAUAAAAUUUUAAAAUAAUUUAAUAAUAACAUUUUAUUACAAUAAUAAAACAUUAUAUAACCUUUUAAAUUCUAGUACCUAAUAUAAUAAAUUUAAUUCAUAAAAAUAUUUUAAAAAUGAUAUAAAGUAUAAUAUAUAUAACAUAUAUAUAAUUCUUUACAUAUAUGUAUAUAUAUGCAUAUAACAUAUCAAAUUAGAUAUAUGUUCCUAAAAAUAUUGGUAUUUGUGAUUUGCUUCUUUUUUGGAUAUUGUAUUUUAGUAUUUGAUUUGUUUCGUAGAUAUAUGCAUAUAACAUAUCGAAUUAGAUAUAUGUUCCUAAAAAUAUUGGUAUUUGUGAUUUGCUUCUUUUUUGGAUAUUGUAUUUUAGUAUUUGAUUUGUUUCGUAGAGUUUCAAAUAUAUCCAAUUUUUUUUGUUCAAAUCAAAACGGAUAACGAAUCGAAUCAAAAUUUAUGAAUAUUUUGCUCAACUUUAUCCGUAAAUAUAAAAAUAAUAUAUAUAUAGUUUGGUUUUUGAUUCGUUAUCUAUUUUUAUUCGAACCAAAAAAUUCAGAGUUUUAUUGAAACCAUGUAUGUGAGUUUUAUAUUUAAAAAACACAAAAUACAUAGUGUGAACACAUUUAUGAUUAUAGUGUGAACGCGUUAGCAUAUUUAUUAUCAAAUCAUUGUGAGACUGACACGUGUCUAUUAUAAUGUGAAUGCAUUUAUUACAAUGCUUCUCUUUUAAUAUAUAAGGGAUGUAUCAGUUUGUUCAGUGUAAAUUAGUUUAGAGUUGAAAAAUUAUAAAACCUAGCAUAGUAUCAAUAUUCAAUUACACACUGUCUAAGUGGAUACAAAAAUCGGUAUCUCUUACAAAAUAGUUCCAUCUGCCGAGUCCAAAACUAGUUCUAUCCGGGGGCAGACACUGGUAAGGGAAGGGUGUGGCAUGGGUCCCACCCUAAUUUUUCUUUCAAAGUUUUUUUUGGGUAUAAUAUUUGUUAAAUAUCUUUAAUUUAAUUUGUUAUUGCAUUAUGGAGCUUUUACUAAGAAAAUUCUUUCAAAUAUUUUUUUAAAAGUUUUUGUCACAAAAUAACAUUCAAGAAAUAAAAUGAUCAAAAUAGUUCAUUUUUAUUUAAAAUUUAAAAUUUUGAUUUUUAAUUUUUUCAAAUUUGAAACUCUAUUCCCAUAUUCUACCAAUUAACUCUAAACUCUAAGUAUAGAUUAGUUAAUCAUAGGAUAAAAAUAUAUUUUUAUCUUUUAAUAAAACUUAUUUUGUCAUAUUUUCUUCAUUGAUGGCUAUUUUGUGAAAAUAAAUUAAAAAUGACUAUCCAAAGGAUUUUUUUUUUACUUUAGAUAUACUUAUACUAACUAUUUAUAACAUUUUGUGUCUCAUAUUUUCUAAGCUUCCGGGUCUCCCCUGGUUCUAUAAAAAUCCAUAUCCAGAAUACUGAAACAAGUAGAUAUAAGAUUCAUUGUCGCAAAUGAUAUAUUGAUAAUAAUGUCUUACAUUGAAAAGAAAAACAAAGAAAUAUCACACUUUGGGUUGAUCUUCAAACAACUAGCAAAUGUGCAAAAUUUAUUGAGCUGAAUUCAAAAAUUGCAAAAGAGAAACUACACGCACUUUCAUUCUUUUUGCUAUGAAAUACUUUUCUUGUAUGUACACCUAUAGCAAUAAAACAAAAAGUUUGUCAUGAUAGUUAGGAGAAGUACGUUUAUUGGCUUAUUCUCAAUGAGGAUGGUCGGACUUAAUAUGGUAGCUACAUUCGGUAAGAUGUGAUCCACCAAUUAUCAACACAUAAUAUUGGGACCAUAGUAUAGCUACAGUAUAAUCAUAUGCAAAACUUCGUACUCGUUUUUUAAAACUUAUAUUAUGUGCCUACUUCAUAGAGAUCCAUAACUCUGAUCGAUAAUUCUAAUGUCUUUUAUUUCUCUUGCAUUCUUUGUCAGUCUCUUCUAAUUUUGUUCGAUAUGACUAAAGUUUACAAGCGAUCUAGCUUGUAAGCAAAUUGUCGACGCUUGGAUUAUCGCUAAAUAUUCAUAUGACAUAUAAACAGUUCAUAUAAUAAGUUAGAACUACCAAAUACAUAUCAACAGGAAUGUAAGAUUAUAUAUUGGCGUACAAGUUGAGGUCUGGUCGCUACUAGUUAGUAGUUAAUAUAUAGUUUCAUUUGUUGCUUUUAAGAGUUACCAUAAUCUCACAAGAUAAUUUAAUGUGCUAAAUAAAAUUGUAUCAAAUUAUGGAAACAAAACGUGACAUUAGGCAACAUGGUCCAGUUUGCACAGACCAGAAAAAAAUAAUGAAGGACGGGUAAAAAGUUAAGUAAUCAUUGUACUACGCAAUAGUAUCGUGGUAAGGGUUGACUUGUAAUAAGACUAAAUUUUUCGUCAUUGAUUGGAUCUGAUUCAUGAUGAUAGAUAUGAAGUUGUUGUCACUUGGCCAAAAGAAAAUAAAUCAUGCUUUAUGUUUCAUUAGAAAAUUUGCAGUUAAACUAGUCCUUAAUAUGUGUUUCAAAAAAAAAAAAAAAAAACUAGUCCUUAAUAUUGAUUUUCUAAAGGAUAAGUAGGAUUUCGGUCCGUCCAUUUACUCCGAUUAAUAAAAAGAAAAAAAAUAUCAUUGUACUAAUCGGCCUAUCUGUGUACCAACUUGUCUAAUUAAUUUACACCACAUUAAACUAAUUCAAGCCAAACAAAACCGAACCAAACCAAAUAACAGCUAAACCAGUUGAACCAGUGGUACAGAAUCCGACCCGAACAAACUCGGGUUGAGCCCAUGAAACAAAGCCCAAAUCACGAAACAAAUGGGUUUCACCGUCGUUCGGCGGCACCUCGAGCUCCGUCUCUCUCUCAGGUUAGCUUCAUCGAUACUCAUCCGAUUCGAAAGAUAGAAACUUUCAGCGAGACUAAUCAUGAACACUCGCAGAUAGUUUUAGAGCCUUAGACAAUGUCGGCUCGGCAAGGGCAUAUACAGUUAGCUAUUUGUCAAGCUCAGAGAAGCUAAGCAAGCGGGAGAGGCGGCUUAACCCUCACAAGCUCAUCGAGACAACUCCAAUCUGGAACCGCAGAGGCACUAAAGCCAAUCAUAUAGAUCUUCAGAGUUGGUGCCAUCUCGCUAGUGUCGUUGUUCCUUAAUGGUUACAAGAGCCUUGUGCUUUAUGCACCUUCUUGUAUUGAUUGUUUUUGGUUUGAUUAUUGAUUUACUGUAUCGGUACUCACUAGGACCGGUUUACUAUUAUCCCUUCAAAAUAUUAUGAGCGUAUCACAACAGUGCCGACAACUAUGUAUAUGUAUUUGAUCAAGAACAGGAUCAUGUCUAGAAAAGUAGAAAGGUUAGGCUUUCUCUCGUUGCGGAUUUUAGAGACGCUUUUCUGCAAGCAGUGUAGAAAACCAAGCCCCAAUGAACGACCAUGUUGCGUCCUCCCAUAGCAGUGCACACUCGCCAAGUUGCGACACACACCCUAUCAGACUAUGUAUAGACAAUGUGAAUGUUAACGUAAAAUAACUGCUAGAUUUUGAGGCUAUAAACAAUUUACUAAGAAUUUAUAUAAUUUUUUAUAUUUUGGUAGACCGUAAAUCAAUGUUUCAUUGACCUAUACUCAUGAUCGAUCCUACUAAAAUAUCAGAAACAGAUAAGAGGAAGACCAGAACUUUGAGAUGCUCUUGAACCUCAUCAGAGAUUUAGCAGGCAAACAUAUACAUCACAUACGUUCAUAUGUUAUUAUUAUAAUAUUUUUAUUAUAUCUUGUAGUUGCAGAAGAAAACAGAAAUACAUUAUUUUUCAAUCCAACGUAGUGCUAAAACGGAUGGUGUAUCAAGGUGUCUUGCAAAGUAUAUCCCAUCAAGUUUGGCCGUCCAUAUACGUAUCUGACCACAUCGAGGGAUAAGUCUGGGUCCUGCUUUGUACAUUUGAACGUCAAAAACAAACUUAUUGUUAGGUCCUUGCCUUAACAAACAAUUCCAUGUUGUUAAAUUAGGGAUCUCGUCAUGGAAUGCGAUCACAUAUGGAGUAGCAUUGAAGGCCAUGUUUUUGAUGCCUAAAUCAUCCUUGUUGGAAUAACAAUGGUACUCCAGAUUUCUACCAGGACCGAGUUCGUUAUGAAUCACAACACGGUUCUUUACGCAAGCUUCUUGUGGCCUAAAAUAUGUAACUGUAACUAAUAUAAAAAGUAUGAGGUGUUUCAUUUUUUUCUUUUGAUCUAAAUGAUCACGACUGGUGUAACAAAGGCAUAUUAACUUGUAGUAUUUAUAUUUUUUUUUUCUGUGGAAGAUCUUUUCGGUUAAAAUAAUAAAUACCAUUAUACUUUAUUGGUAAAGAUUUUUCUUGACUAAACUUUAUUAGUUAAGUUUUUUUCUUGACUAAACUUCUUAGUAAAGUUUUCUUUUGACUAAACUUUAUUAAAAGAGUUUUAUUUUACAAAUGUGUUGACCAUGUAUUUCAAGAUCUUCUCUUAAAACAAGUUUGAUAAGUUGUUAUGUAUAUUUUUAUUUCAAUAUCUCUCUUUAAACAAGUUUUAAGAUAUAUAUACCAUAUUUUUAACACAUUUUUGUUUUGUUAUUAUUAACUUAACUUUCUUUUUAUAUUUUAUUUUAUGUUUAUAAUAAAGUAAAAAAAAUUAUAAACACAAACUUUGACAGCUGGCACAUAUUCUUUCUUUAAAAUUACCUUUUUGAAAAUUUUAUUACAAUGUAAGUUUUUAUGUUUUCGUUUAAUUUUUCUUAUAGUUUUCUACGUUUCCUAGUUUUGUUAUUAAUUUAAUAAAUGCCUACAUAUUUUCAUUUUAUGUAAUCUACAUUUGUUAGAUUGAUACUUUUAAGCUUUUGAUAUUGAAAAGGUCCAGUGGCCAUUUAAAGUAUGUUCAUUCAUUUAUAUCUCAAAAUGAGUAUCUCAUAAAUGUAAUAAUAAUAAUUUACAUAAUUAAGUUAAAUAUUUAAAUUUGAAAUAUAAAAGAAAAUUAAACCAAUUAGAAAGUUACAUAUACAGGAUAUGGGUAUUUCUAUUUUUUGGACUAUCUCAAAACUAUUUCUAUUUCUCUCUUUCUUCUCUCUUUUUUAUUUGAAUUUCUUCUUAAAUAAAAAUAGAAAAUACAUUAUUUUUGUUCCAACGGAUGGUGUAUCAAGGCUUCUUGUAAAGUAUAUCCCAUCAACUUUGGUCAUCCAUACACGUAUCUGACUACAUCGAGGGACAAGUCUUGGUCCUGCUUUGUAUACUUCAACGUCAAAAUAAUAUUCCAUGUUAGCUCCUUGCCUUAGCAAACAAUUCCAUUUUGUUACGUUAGGUAUCUCGUCAUGGAACUCGAUGACAUAUGGAGUAGCAUUGAAGUUUAAGUUCUUAACACUUAAAUCAUUGUCUUUGGAACAACAAUGGAACUCGAGAAGUUUACCAGGACCGAGUUCGUUAUGAAAUGUAACACGAUUUUUAUGCAAGCUUCUUGUGGCCUAAAAUAUGUCGUGGUAACUAAUAUAAGAAGUAUGAGGUGUUUCAUUUCUUUUGAUUCUAAAUGAUUAUGAAUGGAGUAGCAGACUACGUUGCAUGGAAUCGCUAGUCAAGCUCUGAUUCCCGACUCGGUGAUAUCGCCUGGAGCGGAAACGGAAGCGGUGGGAAUCGCCUGGAAUCGCAACAGAAGAAAUGAUGACUAAAAAAUGUGGAGGAAACGUAAGAUUCUGAUUUGGAAGCGGUUGAUUGUUAGUCAAAAGCGUAAUCUGUACUUUUCAUGACCGACAUAUUUGUUCGUUUUAGUUCCAUUUUCUUAGUUUUUAAAUAAUUCUGGCCCAGUUUCAUUUACUCAUCUAAGUCCAAUAUGUUUUUUUUCUCUCACAUUAUUAGAAUUAAAAUUUUAUAAAAUUAUUAUUGUGAACGGCCACGGAUUAAGCAAGAAGACAAUAGAGAACAAAACAUAUUGAGGCAAAUACCCGUUUAGGAUUUCUUAUUAUUGUGUGAAUCAAUAAUUUUACACACCCUUAGACCCAUAUUUAUAGCAGCCGAGAAACCCGAUUUCCUUUGUCCUUUAGGAAUACAUACUUAUCUAGAAAAAAAAAAUUUCCUAAACCUAAAAGGCAUACUGACUGCGGUCGAAGGCCCCCGCACCCCCAGAUGUCAACCUUGAUAGCGAGUUUAUCUUCCUUGUGCCUACGACCCAUGAUUGCUGGGCUUUUACUAGUGCACAGAGAUUUAAUACACGCAGACGUAACAAUUAUAUAACUAAAACAUAAUAUAAAAAUAUAUUUAGUGUUACAAUAUUAAUUAAUAAAUAACUUUGAUUAACUAAUAGUAAUUUUUUUAUUGGGAAGACCUUAGUAAUAAAGAACUAUGCUUGCAAAUAAAGUUUUUUUAUAGAGCUUGCAAAUAUAGUUUAAAAAACAUUAGAGGUGAUACACUUAAUAUAUUAGAUUAGCUAUUGAAAACUUAGGUUUUAAGAAAAAGAGAUUUAGUUGUAAAUAACAUUGACAGAGUUGGUGAAAACAGAAUCGUUUGGAAACGUAGGUUUUAAAUUGAAGUUAUAUUUAAUAAACUACAAUUCACAAGCAUCACUGGCAGACCCGACUUGAUUCGGCUCACAUCACUGGCAGACCAGACUUUUUUUUAAAUUGUAGUUAUAUUGAUGUAAAAAUUAGGGUCAUAAUCUAUAUUUUUUUAGCAAAUCAAGACCAUAUGGGGAUGUGACCAUAAGAUAAUGGUUGCAUGUGGAAUCAUUGUAGCCUAGUGGUUAAGGUUUAAAGGUUUCGACAUCCAUGUCUGAGAUUCGAAUAUCAAACUAUGCAUUUUCUUCCAGAUUACAUAUUAGGAGGUCCAGGUUUCAAUUCUGGAUGCAGACUACGGAAGAAAGGCGUACAAGAGAUCUUCAACAUGGUGCAAGUAAAUCCGGCUAGACGUGGUUCUUCAUAAAACGGCUUAGGUGAUGUCGUUAAACGUAGAUCCUCAUAUGGCAUGUAGUAUUAUCGGUUGUUGAAUCAUCUAUGUAACCUUUUUCAUAAUUGUAAUAUCAUAAUUGAAAUGGAUAAGACAAUACCAGAGCUGCGAGACGUUCUUGAACCUCAUCAGAGAUUUAGCAGACAAACAUUAUAUCACAUAAACUUAUAUGUUAUUAUAAUAUUUUGAUAUAGCUUAUAGUUUCCUGAAAAAAGAAAUACAUUAUGCUUUACCCCAGGUUCCAGAGUAGUGCUAAAACGGGUGGUGUAUCAAGGCUUCUUGAAAAGUAUAUCCCAUCAAGUUUGGCCGUCCAUACACGUAUCUGGCCACACGUAGGAAUAAAUCUAUGUCCUGCUCUGUAUACUUCAACUUUAUAAAAAUAUUCCAUGUUAGCUCCAUGCUUUAACAUACAAUCCCAUGUUGUUAUCAAAAACCAAUCGUCAUGGAACUCGAUGACAUAAGGAGUAGCAUUGAAGUUUAAGUUCUUGACGCCUAAAUCAUUGUUUACGGAAUAACAAUGGAACUCGAGAGGUCUACCAGGACCGAGUUCGUUAUGAAGUAGAACACGAUUUUUUACGCAAGCUUCAUGUGGCUUAAAGUAUGCAGUAACUAAUAUAAAAAGUACGAGAUGUUUCAUUUGAUCUAAAUGAUUAUGAGUGGACUACACAGGCAUUGUUGUGUAGUAUUUAUAAAAAAAAAAUUCUGUGAAAGGUCUUUUAUUUAAACUACUAAAUAAUAUAUUACCUUAUUAUUUAAUUUCUUUCACAAAUAUGUCUUGACCAUAUCAUUUUUAAUCGUGUUUCAAGAUUCUCUCCUAAAAUAAGUCUGACAAGUUGAUAAGUAUCUUUUUAAGUCUUGUUUUUCUUAGAAAAAUAAUAUUUUAAAGAUUUUUUCUUAAACAAGUUUUAAGAUUUUAAAAAAAGUUUUAAGAUUUACCAUGUGGAACCAAUAUCUAUAUAUAAAGUUAACUUUUUAUCUUCUUAUAAUAAGUGACAUGAGGGUUUGAUGACACAUGUCUCAAACGAAUUGUUUUUUACAUAUUAUGUUCUUUUUCUUUUAAAAUAUUGCAAUUUGGUUCAAUAUUUUCUAAUUGUGCACUAUUUCAACUUUUUCACACUAAUUAUAAUUAUAUGAAGUUUAUGAAUCUGUUUUAUUGGUCAUUAAAAUUCAAGAAGAAUAAAAGCAUAUAUAAAAUAAUAUAAAAAUAUUUUAAAUAUUUAUUUUAUUAAAGCCAUUGAUGCAAAGUCCUGUUCUUGUAGCCUUGUAGACCCGUGAGGCUUUUCCAACUCGAUUCCUUGCCAUGCUUGUGGUACUAAGACCCAAUACUCCGAGUUUGUCAUCUUAAAAUAUAUGAACAUGUAACAAUAUUACAGACGACUAUGUAUUGAUCACGAACAGGAUCGUGUCUCAAAAAGUAUGCAAACUAAAAAUAUUCUUCUUGAACAAAAGUGUUGGAUUUAAGAGCGGGUUACGGGUAGGGUUAUGCUUUGUUUCAUAUCGGGAUUAUAGAUAAAUAUUUCUCCACAAACAAUGUACAAAACCCAGCCCCCAAGAACAACCAUGUUCCAAAAUAUUAAAAUGACUUCAAAAUAAAGAAAAAAUUCAAAAAAAAAUUUAUGUUUAAAUAAUAAGAAAACAAGUAUAGUAAGUUUAAUAUAAUAUAACCAUGAAAAAAACAAAUUAAAACUAAAAUAAUAACAAAAUAAUCACAUUAAUGGUCUAAUUGGUAUUCUCGCUACUGCCCGCAAACACAACUUUUGCGGUUGGUAAAGGUUGUUGGCAUUUUGCAACAGUCACAAAAACAUAUAAUCAUUUCAAAUCGCUCCAAAUCUCUUAAAAUGAAAAGUUGGUUCGCAUUCGCAGUUGCGGACGGUUGCAGAUGGAUAAAUAAUUAUAAAACUAUUUCUAAAAAUAUAUUAAAAUUGAAAGAUUAUAGUUAUAUAUAUAUUAUAUUAUAUUUAAAUUUAAAUUCACUAAUAAUAUCACAAUUUAUUUUAUAUAAAAUUUAAACCAAUAAUGUUCAUUAUAAUUGUUUAAACAUUAAUAUGAAUAUACAGUAUAUAAAUAUAAAUAAAUAUAUAAGCGAAAACAAAAUAUUCUUUCAAAAGUUAUAAUAUAAAUCAUCAAAACUAAUUUUGAAAUUAUAAAUUUCAUCUAAAUAAAAAUGAAAAUAUAAAUAUAAUAAUUUAUUAAUUAUAUUAUGUCAACUAAGUUAUAACCCGAACCUUGUGCUGGAUGAACAUUAUAUAUAUCAUUUUAUGUAUUAUAUAUAUUUUACAUAUUAUGAAAUAAAAAUACAUAUUGAACAAUUAAAAAGUCAUUAAAUAUUACAUCUAUAAUUAAAUUGGUGCGAACAUAUAAAUACAUUUUAUUAAUCCAAACAACAUUUUUUUAUAUUUGAUAUAGUAUAUAAUUAAAUAUAAAUGAUAUUUACAUACAUAUAUAGUAUAUUUCAUAUUAGUAUCUAUUAAAUGAUGCUUUCUAUUUAUAUGGUUUUUUUAUCAUUUGUAUAUUUUAUAACAAAAACUAUAAAUUGCUGAUAACAAAAAUUUUAUUGUGGGAUUAAUAGUUUUAGUAUUUUAUAUUUUUUAAAAAUUAAACUGUCAAUAUUUGUUCAAAGCUUCUAUCAAAAAGAAAUUGUUGAAAGUAAAUUUAUAAAUUAAAAUAUUUUUAUAUUUUAUAUGGUUUCUACUUAUAUGAUUUUUUAAUCAUUUGAAUCUUGUCAUAACAAAAAUAUUUAAACCAUGGAUCACAAAAUUUGAAUGUGAGACUUUUAACAGUUUUAGUAAUUUAUAGUAAUUUUAAAAAAAUUAAAAUAUAACAUAAACAGAAAAAUCUAAUUUUUAUUAUAUGUUUAAUAUGGUUGUUUAAUUUAUUUUAUUAGUUUAUAAUUAAAAAAUAUGAUAGAAGAUACAAUAAUUUUAUCAAAUCUUUAUUAUUUAAAAUCAUUAUUGUCAUAUAUACUUUAGCCACAUUAGGCAAUUCCGUAACUUUUAUUUAAGUAAAUAAGAAAACAUUAAUAAUGAGUUUAUGGUUAGUUUAUUUUUUUUAUCAACAUGGUUACUUUAAGAAAAAAAGUUUAUAAUAUAUUUAGAUAUAUCAACUUAUUUCUCUAAGGAUUCUAAAAAUCAUUUUGGGAAUGACACGUGACUACCAAAAAUUGUUGUAAUGCUUCUCAAAUAAUAUAUAAGAGAUAAUCAUUAUAUUUUAUCACAAUAGUAUGCUUUAAAUAUUUUAUAAUGUUAUUGUGUUAAUGUUGAUAAUUUCUUAUUAAACCGCUAUAAUAUCUCUUAAUCAACCAGUCACAAAUUUUCUAAAUUUUCCGCAAAGGCACCAAUUUAUAAUCGAUGUACCAGUCGUAUAAAUCGUUUAAUAACACUAUAAACCGCAUCACCCACAUCCACAAACUCCUGCAAUCACACCCACAACCAAUACAUUUUAAUCAUUCAGCCCUUAAGUUGAAUAUAUAACUUUAUUCUGAUGUAACAUACAAAAACAUAAAAAAAAUUGGUGAAAAAAAUUCUUACCAAAUUUGGUAAUUUUCAUAGUAGACUUCUCUGGAAGUCUUUUUGCAGAAGUCUUCUCCAAAAGUUUUCUGAAGAAGUCUUCUCCAAAAGUCUUCUGAAGAAGUCUGCUAAUGAAGUUUGAAGGUCGAUAUUGUCCUCAGAAUUUGAAAACAUGCAUAUCCAAAACAUUAAAAUGGCUUCAAAGAAGAAAAAACUUCAGAAAUGUUUUUUAUGUUAAAAUAAUACAUAAAACAAUCUUGUUAGUUUGAAUCUACAGUUUUUCGAAUCUAACAUAUAAACACACACAAAAAUCGAUAUCUAAAAUUUAUAGAUCUACAUUUAAAGUAGUGGAAGAUGAAAACUAUAAAUGAAAAACCUGCAAAAAACAAGAUAAAGUAGUAAGAAAAACAUGAGAGAAAUAGAUGAGAAAUUGAUUUAAAGUUUGUUGUCUUCAAGUUAAAAAGACUAGACAGAGGUUGGAGAAUUUAGAGUAAAAAACAUUAUAUUUUUGUUGUAGUUAUUUGAGAAGAAGAUACAUAAUGUGUAAAAAACAUUAUAUAAGGAGGCCAAAAUUCUAACUAGGAUAAAUAUUUUUGGUUCAGAGCUUCUAGAGAAGUCUUCUAGAUCCUAAAUUUAAUAUUCAUCCCGUAAGACUUCCCAAGAACUUUUCUAAUGCAUCAUAUGUUAGAAAAUUUUCCAAGAAGUCUUUUAAACCUUUAAAUCAAAUAACUAAUUAAAUAACAACAAACACUUCAUUAACCAUAAUAUCAACUUAUAACAUAUGUAAUAUAUACAAAAUAAGCACAUAUAUGUCAGAUUUAUUUUAUUUUUAAAAGAAUUUAGAUUCUAAAAUCUAACUCUAAAAGUACAAACAAUAAUACGUUACCAAACCCUAAACC